Molecule: ribosomal RNA, 497 nt
Filed under: uncultured bacterium
Lineage: Bacteria
Description: partial 16S ribosomal RNA
Rfam family: Bacterial small subunit ribosomal RNA
Source: RNAcentral
GAUGAACGCUGGCGGCGUGCCUAAUACAUGCAAGUCGAGCGAACAGAUGAGGAGCUUGCUCCUCUUACGUUAGCGGCGGACGGGUGAGUAACACGUGGAUAACCUACCUAUAAGACUGGGAUAACUUCGGGAAACCGGAGCUAAUACCGGAUAAUAUAUUUAACCGCAUGGUUCAAUAGUGAAAGACGGUUUUGCUGUCACUUAUAGAUGGAUCCGCGCCGCAUUAGCUAGUUGGUAAGGUAACGGCUUACCAAGGCAACGAUGCGUAGCCGACCUGAGAGGGAGAUCGGCCACACUGGAACUGAGACACGGUCCAGACUACUACGGGAGGCAGCAGUAGGGAAUUUUACGCAAUGGGCGAAAGCCUGACGGAGCAACGCCGCGUGAGUGAUGAAGGUCUUCGGAUCGUAAAACUCUGUUAUUAGGGAAGAACAAAUGUGUAAGUAACUAUGCACGUCUUGACGGUACCUAAUCAGAAAGCAACGGCUAACUACGUG